This 253-nucleotide ribosomal RNA is filed under the name uncultured bacterium. RNAcentral's name for it is "partial 16S ribosomal RNA". It matches the Rfam family "Bacterial small subunit ribosomal RNA", at positions 524 to 776 of the family's 1533-position model. The record is from RNAcentral.
UACGUAGGUGGCAAGCGUUGUCCGGAUUUAUUGGGUUUAAAGGGUGCGUAGGCGGUCUAUUAAGUCAGUGGUGAAAUACUCCAGCUUAACUGGAGGGGUGCCAUUGAUACUGAUGGACUUGAGUGAAGUCGAGGUAGGCGGAAUUGACGGUGUAGCGGUGAAAUGCUUAGAUAUCGUCAAGAACACCAAUAGUGAAGACAGCUUACUAGGCUUAUACUGACGCUGAGGCACGAAAGCGUGGGGAGCAAACAGG